Small nucleolar RNA from Suncus etruscus (white-toothed pygmy shrew), 68 nucleotides. NCBI's taxonomy places the organism in Eukaryota, Metazoa, Chordata, Mammalia, Eulipotyphla, Soricidae. The record is from RefSeq and is a predicted model, not a curated record.
AUCACCGUGAUGAAUUCAAUAACCGCCCCAGUCUGAUUUCUGUGACUGAAAGGUAUUUCUGAGGUGUG